AGAGUUUGAUUAUGGCUCAGAUUGAACGCUGGCGGCAGGCCUAAUACAUGCAAGUCGAACGGUAACAUAGGAAAAGCUUGCUUUUUCUGAUGACGAGUGGCGGACGGGUGAGUAAUAUUUGGGAAGCUACCUGAUAGAGGGGGACAACAGUUGGAAACGACUGCUAAUACCGCGAUACAGCCUGAGGGUGAAAGCAGCGAUGCGCUAUCAGAUGCGCCCAAAUGGGAUUAGCUAGUAGGUGAGGUAAAGGCUCACCUAGGCGACGAUCUCUAGCUGGUCUGAGAGGAUGAUCAGCCACAUUGGGACUGAGACACGGCCCAGACUCCUACGGGAGGCAGCAGUAGGGAAUAUUGCACAAUGGAGGAAACUCUGAAUGCAGCCAUGCCGCGUGUGUGAAGAAGGCCUUCGGGUUGUAAAGCACUUUCGGAGGGGAGGAGAAUGACGUUACCCUCAGAAGAAGCACCGGCUAACUCCGUGCCAGCCGCCGC
This 488-nucleotide ribosomal RNA is filed under the name uncultured bacterium. Its description in RNAcentral is "bacterial SSU rRNA". It matches the Rfam family "Bacterial small subunit ribosomal RNA", at positions 8 to 518 of the family's 1533-position model. The record is from RNAcentral.